Molecule: non-coding RNA, 21 nt
Filed under: Arabidopsis thaliana (thale cress)
Lineage: Eukaryota; Viridiplantae; Streptophyta; Magnoliopsida; Brassicales; Brassicaceae
Source: RNAcentral
UAGAAAUGGCGAUGCAUGUGA